Molecule: ribosomal RNA, 253 nt
Filed under: uncultured bacterium
Lineage: Bacteria
Description: partial 16S ribosomal RNA
Rfam family: Bacterial small subunit ribosomal RNA
Source: RNAcentral
UACGGAGGGUGCGAGCGUUGCCCGGAUUUAUUGGGUUUAAAGGGUGCGUAGGUGGGUUAAUAAGUCAGUGGUGAAAUACGGUUGCUCAACAAUCGAGGUGCCAUUGAUACUGUUAAUCUUGAAACAAGUGGAGGUUGCCGGAAUGGAUGGUGUAGCGGUGAAAUGCAUAGAUAUCAUCCAGAACACCGAUUGCGAAGGCAGGUGACUACGUUUGAUUUGACACUGAGGCACGAAAGCAUGGGGAGCAAACAGG